This 465-nucleotide ribosomal RNA is filed under the name uncultured bacterium. RNAcentral's name for it is "partial 16S ribosomal RNA". It matches the Rfam family "Bacterial small subunit ribosomal RNA", at positions 338 to 795 of the family's 1533-position model. The record is from RNAcentral.
CCUACGGGGGGCAGCAGUGGGGAAUAUUGCGCAAUGGGCGAAAGCCUGACGCAGCGACGCCGCGUGAGGGAUGAAGGUCUUCGGAUCGUAAACCUCUGUCAGCAGGGAAGAACGGUCACUGUGCUAAUCAGCAGUGAAUUGACGGUACCUGCAAAGGAAGCACCGGCUAACUCCGUGCCAGCAGCCGCGGUAAUACGGAGGGUGCGAGCGUUAAUCGGAAUUACUGGGCGUAAAGCGCUCGUAGGCGGUAUGUCAAGUCAAGGGUGAAAGCCCCGCGCUCAACGGGGGACCUGCCUUUGAAACUGGCAAACUGGAGUGUGUGAGAGGAUAGUGGAAUUCCAGGUGUAGGGGUGAAAUCCGUAGAUAUCUGGAGGAACAUCAGUGGCGAAGGCGACUAUCUGGCACAUAACUGACGCUGAGGAGCGAAAGCGUGGGUAGCAAACAGGAUUAGAUACCCGGGUAGUC